UUGAGUCAUAGGGAGGAAGAAGUCUGCCACCCAUGACUCAAGAUCCACCAUGCCAGUGAAAUAGGCCAACAGAUCGCUCAGUAAUACCAGGAAUGAGCACCAGUGGGAUCAACAGUUGAUCUGCCACCUGUCUUCAGGAGAGAGAGAUAAGUAAGACAAUGGAGCAGCAUUUGGAAAUGUUAAUGAAGAGACGAGAGAGUUUAAUGGAAGGAGACACCGGUCUGAGUAUUGUCAAGACCGGCUCCUUUUGAACCCUGAACUGUUUGAAGUGUGAUGGACAGGCGAUACCCCAGCAGGGGGAUAAAAAGGGGCAGGUUCGCUAAGACAUGACACACGACACCACGAGGUAACGAGACCCUGGAAGCGGUGCGCCCCCACAAGUCGGUGGGAGUUUUGGAGGUCUGGUUGCGGGACCAGCCAUAGA
Mobula hypostoma (lesser devil ray) is the source of this 424-nucleotide long non-coding RNA. RefSeq lists it as uncharacterized. The record is from RefSeq and is a predicted model, not a curated record. The transcript is spliced from 3 exons. Lineage: Eukaryota; Metazoa; Chordata; Chondrichthyes; Myliobatiformes; Myliobatidae.